RNAcentral lists this ribosomal RNA (496 nucleotides) under uncultured bacterium. RNAcentral's name for it is "partial 16S ribosomal RNA". It matches the Rfam family "Bacterial small subunit ribosomal RNA", at positions 29 to 507 of the family's 1533-position model. The record is from RNAcentral.
AUGCACGCUGGCGGCGUGCCUAAUCCCUGCAAGUCGAGCGAACAGACGAGGAGCUUGCUCCUCUGACGUUAGCGGCGGACGGGUGAGUAACACGUGGAUAACCUACCUAUAAGACUGGGAUAACUUCGGGAAACCGGAGCUAAUACCGGAUAAUAUAUUGAACCGCAUGGUUCAAUAGUGAAAGACGGUUUUGCUGUCACUUAUAGAUGGAUCCGCGCCGCAUUAGCUAGUUGGUAAGGUAACGGUUUACCAAGGCAACGAUGCGUAGCCGACCUGAGAGGGUGAUCGGCCACACUGGAACUGAGACACGGUCCAGACUCCUACGGGAGGCAGCAGUAGGGAAUCUUCCGCAAUGGGCGAAAGCUUGACGGAGCAACGCCGCGUGAGUGAUGAAGGUCUUCGGAUCGUAAAACUCUGUUAUUAGGGAAGAACAAAUGUGUAAGUAACUAUGCACGUCUUGACGGUACCUAAUCAGAAAGCCACGGCUAACUACGUG